Molecule: Y RNA, 99 nt
Filed under: Propithecus coquereli (Coquerel's sifaka)
Lineage: Eukaryota; Metazoa; Chordata; Mammalia; Primates; Indriidae
Description: Y RNA (ENSPCOG00000012160.1)
Rfam family: Y RNA
About the family: Y RNAs are components of the Ro ribonucleoprotein particle (Ro RNP), in association with Ro60 and La proteins. The Y RNAs and Ro60 and La proteins are well conserved, but the function of the Ro RNP is not known.
Source: Rfam by way of RNAcentral
GGUUGGUCAGAGUGCAGUGGUGUUUACAACUAAUUGAUCACAACCAGUUACAGAUUCCUUUGUUCCUUCUCCACCCCCACUGCUCCACUUGACUAUAAA